RNAcentral lists this ribosomal RNA (497 nucleotides) under uncultured bacterium. RNAcentral's name for it is "partial 16S ribosomal RNA". It matches the Rfam family "Bacterial small subunit ribosomal RNA", at positions 28 to 507 of the family's 1533-position model. The record is from RNAcentral.
GAUGAACGCUGGCGGCGUGCCUAAUACAUGCAAGUCGAGCGAACGGACGAGAAUCUUGCUUCUCUGAUGUUAGCGGCGGACGGGUGAGUAACACGUGUAUAACCUACCUAUAAGACUGGGAUAACUUCGGGAAACCGGAUCUAAUACCGGAUAAUAUUUUGAACCGCAUGGGUCAAAAGUGAAAGACGGUCUUGCUGUCACUUAUAGAUGGAUCCGCGCUGCAUUAGCUAGUUGGUAAGGUAACGGCUUACCAAGGCAACGAUGCAUAGCCGAGCUGAGAGGGUGAUCGGCCACACUGGAACUGAGACACGGUCCAGACUCCUACGGGAGGCAGCAGUAGGGAAUCUUACGCAAUGGGCGAAAGCCUGACGGAGCAACGCCGCGUGAGUGAUGAAGGUCUUCGGAUCGUAAAACUCUGUUAUUAGGGAAGAACAUAUGUGUAAGUAACUGUGCACAUCUUGACGGUACCUAAUCAGAAAGCCACGGCUAACUACGUG